AUUGAACGCUAGCGGGAUGCUUUACACAUGCAAGGAGAACGAGUGGAGGACGGGUGAGGAAUAUAACGGAACGUGCCCAGUAGCGGGGGAUAACUACUCGACAGAGUGGCUAAUACCGCAUACGAUUGGAGCGGCCGAUAUCGGAUUAGCUAGUUGUUGGGGUAAAGGCUCACCAAGGAAACGAUCCGUAGCUGGUUUGAGAGGACGACCAGCCACACUGGGACUGAGACAAGGCCCAGACUCCUCCGUGAGGCAGCAGUGGGGAAUUUUGGACAAUGGGGGAAACCCUGAUCCAGCCAUCCCUCGUGUAUGAGAAGUCCUUCGGGUUGUAAAGUACUUUUGGCAGAGAAGCGGUAUCUGCAGAAUAAGCACCGGCUAACUACGUGCCAGCAGCCGCGGUAAUUC
Molecule: ribosomal RNA, 405 nt
Filed under: uncultured bacterium
Lineage: Bacteria
Description: partial 16S ribosomal RNA
Rfam family: Bacterial small subunit ribosomal RNA
Source: RNAcentral